CAAGAAGUAACAGUCGUGGUACGAUUAAAUCAAGUAAGCUGAAGUUUGGAAAUGGGAAGAGAAAGGGCUCGCGAUCGCAACGAUGCCCACGAAGAGUUUUAAAAAAAUCAAAAAGUUUUCAUCAUACUAGACAUGAAUCCAUUAUAAAGAAGUUACGAAGUAUAUCUUUUCUAAAGUCAGAAGUAGAAUUAAAGAAUAUUUUACCAACAAGAAGUAAAAACGGACAUUUAAAAAUUUCAGUAAAGAAAAAAUGCAAGCAACAUCCACCACGUACUGUUUUGAAAAAAGUUAGAAGUAUAAAUCGUGUAAAACAUGAAUCAAUUUUGAAAAAAAUGAGAAGCAUACCGUUUUUACAAUCAGAAGUAGAAUUAAAGAACAUUUUACCUACAGGGAAUAAUAA
Spodoptera litura is the source of this 400-nucleotide non-coding RNA. The record is from RefSeq and is a predicted model, not a curated record. Lineage: Eukaryota; Metazoa; Arthropoda; Insecta; Lepidoptera; Noctuidae.